RNAcentral lists this ribosomal RNA (960 nucleotides) under Bacillus siamensis. RNAcentral's name for it is "bacterial SSU rRNA". It matches the Rfam family "Bacterial small subunit ribosomal RNA", at positions 69 to 1021 of the family's 1533-position model. The record is from RNAcentral. Lineage: Bacteria; Bacillati; Bacillota; Bacilli; Caryophanales; Bacillaceae.
CAGAUGGGAGCUUGCUCCCUGAUGUUAGCGGCGGACGGGUGAGUAACACGUGGGUAACCUGCCUGUAAGACUGGGAUAACUCCGGGAAACCGGGGCUAAUACCGGAUGGUUGUCUGAACCGCAUGGUUCAGACAUAAAAGGUGGCUUCGGCUACCACUUACAGAUGGACCCGCGGCGCAUUAGCUAGUUGGUGAGGUAACGGCUCACCAAGGCGACGAUGCGUAGCCGACCUGAGAGGGUGAUCGGCCACACUGGGACUGAGACACGGCCCAGACUCCUACGGGAGGCAGCAGUAGGGAAUCUUCCGCAAUGGACGAAAGUCUGACGGAGCAACGCCGCGUGAGUGAUGAAGGUUUUCGGAUCGUAAAGCUCUGUUGUUAGGGAAGAACAAGUGCCGUUCAAAUAGGGCGGCACCUUGACGGUACCUAACCAGAAAGCCACGGCUAACUACGUGCCAGCAGCCGCGGUAAUACGUAGGUGGCAAGCGUUGUCCGGAAUUAUUGGGCGUAAAGGGCUCGCAGGCGGUUUCUUAAGUCUGAUGUGAAAGCCCCCGGCUCAACCGGGGAGGGUCAUUGGAAACUGGGGAACUUGAGUGCAGAAGAGGAGAGUGGAAUUCCACGUGUAGCGGUGAAAUGCGUAGAGAUGUGGAGGAACACCAGUGGCGAAGGCGACUCUCUGGUCUGUAACUGACGCUGAGGAGCGAAAGCGUGGGGAGCGAACAGGAUUAGAUACCCUGGUAGUCCACGCCGUAAACGAUGAGUGCUAAGUGUUAGGGGGUUUCCGCCCCUUAGUGCUGCAGCUAACGCAUUAAGCACUCCGCCUGGGGAGUACGGUCGCCAGACUGAAACUCAAAGGAAUUGACGGGGGCCGCACAAGCGGUGGAGCAUGUGGUUAAUUCGAAGCACGCGAAAACCUUACCAGGCUUGACUCCUCUGACAUCCUAAAGAAAGACGCCCCUUC